RNAcentral lists this ribosomal RNA (301 nucleotides) under uncultured bacterium. Its description in RNAcentral is "partial 16S ribosomal RNA". It matches the Rfam family "Bacterial small subunit ribosomal RNA", at positions 509 to 807 of the family's 1533-position model. The record is from RNAcentral.
CAGUCGCCACGGUAAUACGGAGGGUGCAAGCGUUAAUCGGAAUUACUGGGCGUAAAGCGCACGCAGGCGGUCUGUCAAGUCAGAUGUGAAAUCCCCGGGCUUAACCUGGGAACUGCAUUUGAAACUGGCAGGCUAGAGUCUUGUAGAGGGGGGUAGAAUUCCAGGUGUAGCGGUGAAAUGCGUAGAGAUCUGGAGGAAUACCGGUGGCGAAGGCGGCCCCCUGGCCUAAUACUGACGCUGAGGUACGAAAGCAUGGGGAGCAAACAGGAUUAGAUACCCCUGUAGUCCCUGUCUCUUAUAC